UACCUGUUUAUUAUACAAAAAGUUGUUCCAUAAGGAAGACAUAAAGGACGACCUAAACUGCCCUUGUGCUAAACCUGCUCAAACUUGGAAAUACCUGUAGUACUGCUCAGUACAUAUCUUAAGUUGAGGUGACAAUUGGAGUAACGAGUAUAGAUUCACUAGUUGCAAUAACGGUAUAGGACUAGUAUUUUUAAAGGAAAGACAUCUACGUAUCAAGUAUAUAUAUUGGAUAGAGGCAUACAUCCUUAGUUGUCAAGCAUGCCUGAAUUUUGCUGCUGUGAAAGAAAUAUAGUGCUAUGAUCAGAGUAGGUGAACGGAAAAAAGGACCAAAAAAGAAUGUUUCCGUAAUAUUUGGGAAAGUGUA
This is a non-coding RNA of Schizosaccharomyces pombe (fission yeast), 364 nucleotides long. NCBI's taxonomy places the organism in Eukaryota, Fungi, Ascomycota, Schizosaccharomycetes, Schizosaccharomycetales, Schizosaccharomycetaceae. The record is from the annotation of a GenBank genome assembly.